This 303-nucleotide ribosomal RNA is filed under the name uncultured bacterium. RNAcentral's name for it is "partial 16S ribosomal RNA". It matches the Rfam family "Bacterial small subunit ribosomal RNA", at positions 507 to 807 of the family's 1533-position model. The record is from RNAcentral.
AGCAGUCGCCGCGGGAAUACGUAGGGUGCAAGCGUUAAUCGGAAUUACUGGGCGUAAAGCGUGCGCAGGCGGUUAGAUAAGCCAGAUGUGAAAUCCCCGAGCUCAACUUGGGAACUGCGUUUGGAACUGUUUAACUAGAGUGCGUCAGAGGGGGGUGGAAUUCCGCGUGUAGCAGUGAAAUGCGUAGAGAUGCGGAGGAACACCGAUGGCGAAGGCAGCCCCCUGGGAUGACACUGACGCUCAUGCACGAAAGCGUGGGGAGCAAACAGGAUUAGAUACCCCUGUAGUCCCUGUCUCUUAUAC